UACGUAGGGUGCGAGCGUUAAUCGGAUUUACUGGGCGUAAAGCGUGCGCAGGCGGCCCGUUAAGACAGGUGUGAAAUCCCUGGGCUCAACCUAGGAAUUGCGCUUGUGACUGGCGGGCUCGAGUACGGUAGAGGGGGGUGGAAUUCCUGGUGUAGCGGUGAAAUGCGUAGAGAUCUGGAGGAAUACCGGUGGCGAAGGCGGCCCCCUGGGCCUGUACUGACGCUCAUGCACGAAAGCGUGGGGAGCAAACAGG
This 253-nucleotide ribosomal RNA is filed under the name uncultured microorganism. RNAcentral's name for it is "partial 16S ribosomal RNA". It matches the Rfam family "Bacterial small subunit ribosomal RNA", at positions 524 to 776 of the family's 1533-position model. The record is from RNAcentral.